Molecule: ribosomal RNA, 465 nt
Filed under: Vreelandella stevensii
Lineage: Bacteria; Pseudomonadati; Pseudomonadota; Gammaproteobacteria; Oceanospirillales; Halomonadaceae
Description: partial 16S ribosomal RNA
Rfam family: Bacterial small subunit ribosomal RNA
Source: RNAcentral
CCUACGGGGGGCUGCAGUGGGGAAUAUUGGACAAUGGGCGAAAGCCUGAUCCAGCCAUGCCGCGUGUGUGAAGAAGGCCUUCGGGUUGUAAAGCACUUUCAGUGGGGAAGAAAGCCUUGGGGCUAAUACCCUCGAGGAAGGACAUCACCCACAGAAGAAGCACCGGCUAACUACGUGCCAGCAGCCGCGGUAAUACGGAGGGUGCGAGCGUUAAUCGGAAUUACUGGGCGUAAAGCGCGCGUAGGCGGUCUGAUAAGCCGGUUGUGAAAGCCCCGGGCUCAACCUGGGAACGGCAUCCGGAACUGUCAGGCUAGAGUGCAGGAGAGGAAGGUAGAAUUCCCGGUGUAGCGGUGAAAUGCGUAGAGAUCGGGAGGAAUACCAGUGGCGAAGGCGGCCUUCUGGACUGACACUGACGCUGAGGUGCGAAAGCGUGGGUAGCAAACAGGAUUAGAUACCCUAGUAGUC